RNAcentral lists this ribosomal RNA (751 nucleotides) under uncultured bacterium. RNAcentral describes it as "bacterial SSU rRNA". It matches the Rfam family "Bacterial small subunit ribosomal RNA", at positions 77 to 828 of the family's 1533-position model. The record is from RNAcentral.
CAAUACUGGGCGGCGACCGGCAAACGGGUGCGGAACACGUACACAACCUUCCGAGAAGUGGGGAAUAGCCCAGAGAAAUUUGGAUUAAUACCCCGUAACAUAACGAUGUGGCAUCACAUUGNNNNUAUAGCUUCGGCGCUUCUUGAUGGGUGUGCGGCUGAUUAGAUAGUUGGCGGGGUAACGGCCCACCAAGUCUACGAUCAGUAGCUGAUGUGAGAGCAUGAUCAGCCACACGGGCACUGAGACACGGGCCCGACUCCUACGGGAGGCAGCAGUAAGGAAUAUUGGUCAAUGGACGCAAGUCUGAACCAGCCAUGCCGCGUGAAGGAUUAAGGUCCUCUGGAUUGUAAACUUCUUUUAUCUGGGACGAAAAAAGGCGAUACUUCGUCACUUGACGGUACCAGAUGAAUAAGCACCGGCUAACUCCGUGCCAGCAGCCGCGGUAAUACGGAGGAUGCAAGCGUUAUCCGGAUUCACUGGGUUUAAAGGGUGCGUAGGCGGGCAGGUAAGUCAGUGGUGAAAUCCUAGAGCUUAACUCUAGAACUGCCAUUGGUACUAUCUGUCUUGAAUAUUGUGGAGGUAAGCGGAAUAUGUCAUGUAGCGGUGAAAUGCUUAGAUAUGACAUAGAACACCUAUUGCGAAGGCAGCUUACUACGCAUAUAUUGACGCUGAGGCACGAAAGCGUGGGGAUCAAACAGGAUUAGAUACCCUGGUAGUCCACGCCCUAAACGAUGANNNCUCGACAUUUGUG